UGCAGCAGGCGCGAAAACUUUACAAUGCUGGAAACAGCGAUAAGGGGACCUCGAGUGCCAGGUUACAAAUCUGGCUGUCGUGAUGCCUAAAAAGCAUUGCAUAGCAAGGGCCGGGCAAGACCGGUGCCAGCCGCCGCGGUAACACCGGCGGCUCGAGUGGUAACCGUUAUUAUUGGGUCUAAAGGGUCUGUAGCCGGCCGGAUAAGUCUCUUGGGAAAUCCAGCAGCUCAACUGUUGGGCUUUCAGGAGAUACUGUCUGGCUCGAGGCCGGGAGAGGUGAGAGGUACUUCAGGGGUAGGGGUGAAAUCUUGUAAUCCUUGAAGGACCACCAGUGGCGAAGGCGUCUCACCAGAACGGACCUGACGGCAAGGGACGAAAGCUAGGGGCACGAACCGGAUUAGAUACCCGGGUAGUCCUAGCCGUAAACGAUACUCGCUAGGUGUCGGCCACGGUGCGACCGUUGUCGGUGCCGUAGGGAAGCCGUGAAGCGAGCCACCUGGGAAGUACGGCCGCAAGGCUGAAACUUAAAGGAAUUGGCGGGGGAGCAC
Molecule: ribosomal RNA, 548 nt
Filed under: uncultured archaeon
Lineage: Archaea
Description: bacterial SSU rRNA
Rfam family: Archaeal small subunit ribosomal RNA
Source: RNAcentral